UGGUGGAGUGAUUUGUCUGCUUAAUUGCGUCAACGAACGAGAUCUUUUCUUGCUAAAUAAGGGAAGGUUCUAUAGAACUUUUCUCUUUCUUAGAGGAACUGCGUGUUUUAAACACGAGGAAGGGAAAGGUAAUAACA
This 137-nucleotide ribosomal RNA is filed under the name uncultured eukaryote. RNAcentral describes it as "partial 18S ribosomal RNA". It matches the Rfam family "Eukaryotic small subunit ribosomal RNA", at positions 1299 to 1458 of the family's 1831-position model. The record is from RNAcentral.